CGCCGGGACCCCCUCACCGGUCAGGUCUGCGCCCCGGGGAGCCGGGGAAGGCCGGCUGGGAGGAAGGUGUAUGCCUGCCAGCUUCUCCCGUGUUUCGCUCAUGUGAGACCAUCACGGCCAUGAGCGUCUCUGCAGGCGCAUCUCGACCACGGCGGUGCUGCUGAGUCCGGACCGCUGAGCUCUCAGGCGGGUCCUGGUGGUGGACGGAACUGAUCACUCAUUUCCUUGAAGGAGCAGAAGGUCCUGGAGGCCGGAGCCGGUACCGCGACCAAGGGAGACAGAGAGAAAGCGCCGGUCGUCUCCCCCAGCACAACCACCCGAUAGAACCGACAGCUGUCCUGGGACUCGCAGGAAGCAUGCGGCGGCGCUUCCCAGCCUGUGCGCCGCGUAGCUGCCGUCCUCAGGAACCCCCGAGCCCCCGCAGUCGCACGA
Long non-coding RNA from Mustela lutreola (European mink), 432 nucleotides. RefSeq lists it as uncharacterized. The transcript is spliced from 3 exons. Lineage: Eukaryota; Metazoa; Chordata; Mammalia; Carnivora; Mustelidae. The record is from RefSeq and is a predicted model, not a curated record.